GGAGUAACUCCUUCUAAGCUAAAUAUCACCACGAGACCGAUAGCGAACAAGUACCGUGAGGGAAAGUUGAAAAGCACUCUGAAUAGAGAGUCAAAAAGUACGUGAAACUGCCUAGGGCUCAAGCCCGUUGAACUCGAUUAUCCGAGCGGAGACAUUCACCUGCGGUUGGUCGGCGACGGCAGACCGCAGGGCACUUGUCUCCCGCGUUCACGAGGACACUGCGAUCCAUUACGAAACAGCUUUGGCGUCCCAAGACGCAAGGUCGCCCGACAAUUGCCCCCUGGUGCUGGUUGCUUGUCCCACAGUAGCGACGCUCAUUUCUGAAGGCCUGUGCCGCGAGGUGGGGCUUACUGCACGUGGUGUUUGCAGUCGGGCGCGUGAUGGAUUCCCGCGUACGCCGGCGGUCUUCCCGUAAGGGGCCGCCGGACCGUCGUCGGCAGUGAAAGAAUCGAGGUACCUUCGGGACCCGUCUUGAAACACGGACAAAAUUAAAAACA
Molecule: ribosomal RNA, 497 nt
Filed under: Ochlerotatus dissimilis
Lineage: Eukaryota; Metazoa; Arthropoda; Insecta; Diptera; Culicidae
Description: eukaryotic LSU rRNA
Rfam family: Eukaryotic large subunit ribosomal RNA
Source: RNAcentral